CUGAGAAUUAUCGAAAAAGCAUUGAAGAACGUUCAGUUAGAAGUUCAGCAGCUGAAGGAUGACGAAAACUGGAACGUCUCUGUGAUCGGAGAUGACAAUUUUGGCGACAAAGGUGACCGGGCGUGUGUACAGUGUGUAAAAAUUUCGGAUUUCGGUAAACCCAAUUUCGGAGUGUGAAUAAAACAAGUGAAGUGGAAGCAGCAGGAGAUUGGAGAAAUCAGAGGAACAUCCUUCAUCCUUCGCAGGCAGCAUCAACGGUGCAAGCUCAUUUUCGGGAUCAAUUUGUGGGUAAUUAGCUUGCUGGAGUUGGCUCGACGCGUCGAAUGGAAAAUAUAUACUAAGGCCGAUUUUGGUAAGAAUACACGUUUCUGAUCAACGUUAAUUUUAAUGUAAGG
Molecule: long non-coding RNA, 395 nt
Filed under: Neodiprion pinetum (white pine sawfly)
Lineage: Eukaryota; Metazoa; Arthropoda; Insecta; Hymenoptera; Diprionidae
Description: uncharacterized LOC124223033
Source: RNAcentral